AGCGAACGCUGGCGGCAGGCCUAACACAUGCAAGUCGAACGGAUCCUUCGGGACUAGUGGCGGACGGGUGAGUAACACGUGGGAACGUGCCCUUUGGUUCGGAACAACUCAGGGAAACUUGAGCUAACACCGGAUGUGCCCUUCGGGGGAAAGAUUUAUCGCCAUUGGAGCGGCCCGCGUCUGAUUAGCUAGUUGGUGAGGUAAAGGCUCACCAAGGCGACGAUCAGUAGCUGGUCUGAGAGGAUGAUCAGCCACAUUGGGACUGAGACACGGCCCAAACUCCUACGGGAGGCAGCAGUGGGGAAUCUUGCGCAAUGGGCGAAAGCCUGACGCAGCCAUGCCGCGUGAAUGAUGAAGGUCUUAGGAUUGUAAAAUUCUUUCACCGGGGACGAUAAUGACGGUACCCGGAGAAGAAGCCCCGGCUAACUUCGUGCCAGCCGCCGCAGUAA
RNAcentral lists this ribosomal RNA (449 nucleotides) under uncultured bacterium. Its description in RNAcentral is "partial 16S ribosomal RNA". It matches the Rfam family "Bacterial small subunit ribosomal RNA", at positions 29 to 523 of the family's 1533-position model. The record is from RNAcentral.